UGCCAUUUAAGACUUUUUUUCUCAUGUCGUAUGCUCUUUAGGUGGCUACUUUGAAUAGGACAUAACUCAUCUAACAUGGCUGGAUCCAGCUGCUCCCUGUUAAGACCAACAUAAAGUUGAUCCACAACAAAGCCCUUCAGCCUGACGCUAUCCUCUUCCGUCUCCCUCGCACACCGUGGGACAGCGGCGAAGAAAAACUCUCACGCCGCUCUCUUGAGUAGACCAGACUCUCCAGGACGGCCGGGGUCACCAUUAGCACCCUUUGGACCACUGGCACCGGCGGGUCCGCGCUCACCGGGGGCACCCUAAGAGAG
Corythoichthys intestinalis (scribbled pipefish) is the source of this 314-nucleotide long non-coding RNA. RefSeq lists it as uncharacterized. The transcript has 3 exons. The record is from RefSeq and is a predicted model, not a curated record. NCBI's taxonomy places the organism in Eukaryota, Metazoa, Chordata, Actinopteri, Syngnathiformes, Syngnathidae.